UCCGUUGUAGUCUAGCUGG
This 19-nucleotide non-coding RNA is filed under the name Arabidopsis thaliana (thale cress). The record is from RNAcentral. Lineage: Eukaryota; Viridiplantae; Streptophyta; Magnoliopsida; Brassicales; Brassicaceae.